GGACAACAAACAGUGGCACGAGCAAUCUCUUUCGUGAUAUAGUGUUGCAAAAAGAUGCGCUUGACAGCUUGUC
Molecule: non-coding RNA, 73 nt
Organism: Caenorhabditis elegans
Lineage: Eukaryota; Metazoa; Nematoda; Chromadorea; Rhabditida; Rhabditidae
Source: Ensembl